GAUGAACGCUGGCGGCGUGCCUAAUACAUGCAAGUCGAGCGAACGGACGAGAAGCUUGCUUCUCUGAUGUUAGCGGCGGACGGGUGAGUAACACGUGGAUAACCUACCUAUAAGACUGGGAUAACUUCGGGAAACCGUAGCUAAUACCGGAUAAUAUUUUGAACCGCAUGGUUCAAAAGUGAAAGACGGCCUUGCUGUCACUUAUAGAUGGAUCCGCGCUGCAUUAGCUAGUUGGUAAGGUAACGGCUUACCAAGGCAACGAUGCAUAGCCGACCUGAGAGGGUGAUCGGCCACACUGGAACUGAGACACGGUCCAGACUCCUACGGGAGGCAGCAGUAGGGAAUCUUCCGCAAUGGGCGAAAGCCUGACGGAGCAACGCCGCGUGAGUGAUGAAGGUCUUCGGAUCGUAAAACUCUGUUAUUAAGGAAGAACAUAUGUGUAAGUAACUGUGCACAUCUUGACGGUACCUAAUCGGAAAGCCACGGCUAACUACGUG
This 497-nucleotide ribosomal RNA is filed under the name uncultured bacterium. Its description in RNAcentral is "partial 16S ribosomal RNA". It matches the Rfam family "Bacterial small subunit ribosomal RNA", at positions 28 to 507 of the family's 1533-position model. The record is from RNAcentral.